AACGCGAAGAACCUUACCCAGGCUUGACAUCUCUGGAAUUUCUCCGAAAGGAGAGAGUGCCCUUACGGGAACUAGAUGACAGGUGAUGCAUGGCCGUCGUCAGCUCGUGUCGUGAGAUGUAGGGUUAAGUCCCUCAACGAGCGCAACCCCUAUAGUUAGUUGAAUUUUCUAGCUAGACUGCCCUGGUAACAGGGAGGAAGGAGGGGAUGAUGUCAGGUCAGUAUUUCCCUUACGCCUGGGGCUACAAACACGCUACAAUGGCCGGUACAAAGGGCAGCCAAGUCGCGAGACGGAGCAAAUCCCGCUAAAACCGGUCCCAAUUCGGAUUGCAGGCUGAAACCCGCCUGCAUGAAGCCGGAAUCGCUAGUAAUGGUAGGUCAGCACACUACCGUGAAUACGUUCCCGGGCCUUGUACACACCGCGUGUCU
Molecule: ribosomal RNA, 428 nt
Filed under: uncultured bacterium
Lineage: Bacteria
Description: bacterial SSU rRNA
Rfam family: Bacterial small subunit ribosomal RNA
Source: RNAcentral